Molecule: ribosomal RNA, 393 nt
Filed under: uncultured bacterium
Lineage: Bacteria
Description: partial 16S ribosomal RNA
Rfam family: Bacterial small subunit ribosomal RNA
Source: RNAcentral
AUACGGAAGGUCCGGGCGUUAUCCGGAUUUAUUGGGUUUAAAGGGAGCGCGGGCGGCACUUCGAGCGUGACGUUAAAUUUCGGGGCUCACCCCCGUUAUGCGUCGCGAACUGUUGUGCUUGAGUAGGCGGCAGGGAGGCGGAAUUCGCGGUGUAGCGGUGAAAUGCUUAGAUAUCGCGAGGAACUCCGAUAGCGCAGGCAGCCUCCCGUUGCUUUACUGACGCUCAUGCUCGAAGGUGCGGGUAUCGAACAGGAUUAGAUACCCUGGUAGUCCGCACUGUAAACGAUGGAUGCCCGCUGUUGGGCCUUUUGGGUUCAGUGGCCAAGAGAAAUCGUUAAGCAUCCCACCUGGGGAGUACGCCGGCAACGGUGAAACUCAAAUGAAUUGACGGGG